UACGUAGGGUGCAAGCGUUGUCCGGAAUUAUUGGGCGUAAAGAGCUCGUAGGCGGUUUGUUGCGUCGGCUGUGAAAUCCCGAGGCUCAACCUCGGGUCUGCAGUCGAUACGAGCAAACUAGAGUGUUGCAGGGGAGACUGGAAUUCCUGGUGUAGCGGUGAAAUGCGCAGAUAUCAGGAGGAACACCGGUGGCGCAGGCGGGUCUCUGGGCAACAACUGACGCUGAGGAGCGAAAGCGUGGGGAGCGAACAGG
This 253-nucleotide ribosomal RNA is filed under the name uncultured bacterium. RNAcentral describes it as "partial 16S ribosomal RNA". It matches the Rfam family "Bacterial small subunit ribosomal RNA", at positions 524 to 776 of the family's 1533-position model. The record is from RNAcentral.